AUGUUCCUUCCAUUUUUGCUGCUGCUGGCAGCUUCAUCCUAUGUGGACUGUGCAGUAGAACUCACUCAGGUCACCUCAGUGAUGUUAAAGCCAGGAGAUUCUUUAACCCUCAGCUGUAAAGUAUCCGGCUACUCUGUUACUGACAACAGCUAUGCCACGGCUUGGAUCCGACAACCUGCAGGAAACACUCUGGAAUGGAUAAACGACAUCUGGGGUGGUGGAGCAAUUGGUUCUAAAGAUUCUCUAAAAAACAAGUUCAGUAUUUCUAAAGACGGCUCCAGCAGCACGGUAACUCUGAGAGGACAGAAUCUGCAGACUGAAGACACAGCUGUGUAUUACUGCGCUCGCCACACACACUGAUGCUUCUGUUGAGGUGUCAAUACAAAAACACACGCAUGCUGUUGUCAAAAGUUUAUCUCACAUUUUCAUCAUCAGUGUUGAAGAACAAAGGAAACAUUGAGACAAAAACUGAACUGUAUGACUUUCCUCAAUGCUGAGAAGAACAUCUGGAAAAAGGAACAUUACAUGAAAUCUCACUAUUUUCUUUCUUAUUUUUGAAAUCUGUGUGAAACAUCCACCAUCCAAAUCAUGUGUCAGUUGUUCCUAUGGAAUGAUAAACGAUUACAAUUUAUAAUUAAUAUUAACCUGUGUGUUGCCUUUCUAUAGUAA
Non-coding RNA from Neoarius graeffei (lesser salmon catfish), 669 nucleotides. Lineage: Eukaryota; Metazoa; Chordata; Actinopteri; Siluriformes; Ariidae. The record is from the annotation of a RefSeq genome assembly.